Peromyscus californicus insignis is the source of this 21307-nucleotide long non-coding RNA. RefSeq lists it as uncharacterized. The transcript is spliced from 14 exons. The record is from RefSeq and is a predicted model, not a curated record. Lineage: Eukaryota; Metazoa; Chordata; Mammalia; Rodentia; Cricetidae.
UGCCACUAUUUCAGUUUUUAUCUCCACAACAAAAAUUCCUUCCAACUUUUCCCCCCUGUCUCCCUCUAAUGCUCUUCACUCUCAAAUGCUAAUAACCUCCAGCUGUAAAAGGCUUAGAAGUGGCUCUAGAUUGUUUGAUCUUUGGCCUGUGAUCUGCUUUCAUCUCUGUGCUUUCAAAUGUUACUUUAGAUUUACUUUAACCUAUUAACGCGCUUGGUAUUCAUAGACACGCACACUCCAAAACAGCUUCCAAGCUCCCCAACUGCAGCACGCCUCCCCACGUCCGUCCCCCCCCCAUCAUAGCUGGGCUGGAAACUGAAACUCCCAGUGCAGACCGGAACUUUCCAGUGAGGGAUAGAGAAGGAGGCCUGGAAGGCAGGGCAGGGAAGGAUGCCCAGAGCCUGGGGAGGCUAUGCAGGAGAGUGGUGGGAAGGAGGAAGGAGGAAGGAGGAAGGGAUGAGGGAGCAGAGAAGGAAGUAGAGAAGAAGAGAAGGUAGAAAGGAAAAAAGGCAGAGAAAGGGACCAGGGGUACAGAAGUCAGCAAAGUGCCCAGGACUGCCAGCCUCCGUGCUGGUUACAUACCAUCUAAAUCUACUCUCCCCUGAUGGAGGAUGGGGACCCAGAGCCUGCUGAGUUAGUGCUUGAGAUUUCUAGCUUGUGGUUGAGCUGGGGGUGUGUGGCAUGUUGUUUCCACAGGAAAUGAGAGGCAUGAAUAUGGAUGAAACUCCUCACCGAGACCACAAGGCUUGUCCAGUCUAGAAGCCAGCUCUGCAUAGCAGUGGCCUCCAUGAUGGCAGAACCCCUGGCCAAAUUUGAACUCGACUUUUCUACUUAUUGACUUUGUGCCCCUGAGCUCCAGGCCAAAUCUCCAAAUGAAAUCAGGCUGGGGAGAAAUGAACAGGCGAGAUGCAGAAAACAAUGUGAAGAAGAAACUCUGAAGAUACGAAUAAUAAUAGAAAAAAAAAGAUCCCCAUAUCAUGGUGCCGUCAACACUCAUGGGGAGUCCUUCCCCUCAGCUAAUUCUCCUGAAGGUGCUUCUCCAUCUGUUAGGUGACUCUAAAUCUGGUCAACUUGACCAUGAAGACUAGCCAUCACCCCAGAGGACUAGUUACAGGACCAUUCGUGAAUGCUGAAUCCAGUCAACUUGACCGUGAAGAUUCGCCAUCAUCAUGGAGGAGGUUGCAGGACCAUUCCCAGAUGCUGAAUCCAUGGAAAUCAACUCCCUUGAAUUAGACCUUCAUGUCACCAUGACACAAUAUGUGAUAGAAACCACACAAGGAAGGAAACACUUAUGUCGCUCUUGGUGUCAGAACUUUCAAUGCAUCGUGGCAGGAAGGAUGCAGCAGACAGGAAGUAGAAAGGAGUAGUAACAGGAAGGAGCUGUGACCCACUUCCUCCAACUAGAGAACCCUGACUGUGGAAGAAGAGUUCUGACCCCCAAUUCAAAGUCAAGGAAGCAAAUUCACUCACAUCCGAUGAAAACUCACUUGGAUGAAGAGGCAGGAUGGAAGAGCGGCUCGGGGGUCAGAUGUAAGCUUUCAGCUACUGCUCCAGCGUCAUAGCAUCAUGCCUGCUUGUCUGUUGCUGUGCUUCCCGAAGUGGUGGCCAUAGACUCACCCGCUGCUCCUGCUCCAGUGCCAUGACUGCCUGCCACCAUUUCCCCAUCAUGAGGGCCACUGACUCACCCUCAGAAAUUGAGUGCUUUAGAACGUGUAAAAAGCCUCUUUGUCCUAUGUCAUGGGAUUGGAGUCAGAGCAAUGGGCCUGGGACAGAAACUCACCACUCAGCAAUCUGUUGGACGGUACACCACAGCCAAAGCCCUAGGAGGAUGUGUGGUACUCCUAUCUCUGGGUUGAGAGUCAUCUGUCACCACUGACCAUUGCUGCUGUCCUCUCUGGGGUGACCUGCCUCAGUAACCAGCUCUAGCUGUGUCAGGGGCUGUGAGAGGGGACCAACAGGCAGCAGUGGAACUCAUGGCACAUGCCUGGGUGGUAGGCAAAACCACUCCUGAGUGAGCCUUGGAGUGGCCAAACCCCAAGGACUAGGUGUACUGAGAACCUCAUGAUGUUAUUGAGCAUAGCUCUGAUUGCUGUCUUUGUGGUCACCACAGCCCUCAUAAUCUGUGGGGUGUAUGAAAACUCCCAGGGAGUUUCUAGUCCCUCACUGGGUAAUGUUACUGGUACUUAACAAUAAUAGUGAUUGACUUUCCAAGAAUUGCUGCUGGAGCAGAUUAAUGCUUCAACUACAACCCUUAGAAAGAAUUUAGACGUGUAGAAUUGUUAGUAAGGUUAGGUUAAGAUGUCUUUGUUAAUUAAUUUGAGGUAGAAAAUCUUGGGGAAAAAUUUAAAGUUUAGAAAGACACAGUUUUAAUAGUUAAAGAAGGGACUCAUUGAGGUCAGGUGACAGGAAAAAUGGCAGCCUGGCUAUUGCUGACUGAUGUACCUUUCUUGCUAGGUUGGUUGGUGAUCAAAGGUGAUGAUUAACUCCUUGUACCUAUGUCUGCAUUCAGCUUCCUGAUAUAAAAAACUGUUGACAAGUGGGUAUGCAUCCUGAGGAUUUAAUAUAGAGUUGACUGGUUGUUUUUCAAAUAUAAAUGUUUAGAUUUGUGAUUCUUUUAAGAUUUUUUAUAAGAUUACCUUUUGAGAUAAAUGAUAAAGUAAUUGAUCCUUUCUUUGUAACCGCAAAAUGCAGCCUGCCAGUAAAAGAACUGGCUGAGAAAAGUAUCUUGCUUGCUUACACUCUGUUAAUCUCUAACAAGUCCCUUGGACAUGAAUGUAUGUGGGUUCUUGGAGAUAAUUUGUUUUUCACCUAUGAUUCGUAAAAUGUUUAAUCAUGUAAGAAAUAGGGAAAACACGUUGUUUUUUUGCUUGUAUCAUUGCAAUCAUUCAUUUAAAAAAUAGAAUGUAACCAAAUCGUAAUUUUUAUACUGCUUGAAAGAUUUUCCUGGGGUAUACAAGCUGUGAGGGAAAAAAUAAAGUUAGUUAGAAGGAAGACAUCAAAAAAGGUACAGAAGAGAUACAUCUGGAUAGAAGUAUAAAGAGAUAAGAGAAGAUGAUGGAGAGACCCUAAAAGUGUGUGUGUGUGUGUGUGUGUGUGUGUGUGUGUGUGUUCCCUUUUUCGCUGCCCCUAGAAAGUUAAGUUUUACCCCUGUCACUGGCCCCAGAGAAUUAAGUUUUAGUCUCUCAGAUAGAAAAGUCAAGUUGAGAGAUUAGUCCGCCAACUCUGUGGAUCCCCCUCAAUCCCUGAGCUGCCAAAGGCCGUCCAGUCCCCAGCCUGCAGACUGGAUCUCAAUAACCAAAAAAACCAAUCUACUGCUAACUAGCCCUGACCACACUUGUGUGGGUGUGUGCAUACUCAGCCACCACAAGGCCCUGCCCAGCGCCUGGCUGUGUGCCCCAGGUGGGCUCCUGACACACCUCAGUACUGCUUGGUCUGGUUUUCUCUUCCUGAGCUGAUCAGAGAUUACAGGUUUUCAAACUGGUAAAUCUCACCUUGUGGUCAUUUUGCACUCUUGGCUAUCCCAUCUCACCAGGCUUCUCCUCAUGACUCUUUUCCUCACACUUUUGUAAUGUGCCUCUGUUCUCCUGCUCCCUGGUUCUAGCAGCUAUGUGGUCUUAACUGAGCUCUCUAGCCUUCCCAGACCCUGUUUCUUUUCACCCUUUCCCUCUCUGCUCCUCCUCUUCUCUCCUGACAGGGCUUCCACUCACUCCAGAGAUUGCUCCCACAGCUACACUUCCCCGAAGACAGGAGGCCCAGACCUCAGGGAAUCUGGCACAGGAGGGCUUGGAUUUGUCCCCAGACCUCCACCUCUAGGAGCUAAAGGGCGGAGAAGGCUUCAGAACUCAACUGCCUUUGCACAAGGGAGUAGGGAGAGGAGGAGGGAGACCUGGACUCUGCAGGAAAGAGCAGCUAUUAGUCACCAGAGGGAGAAAAGAAAAGGAAUUGGUCAAACAGCAGGUGGUCCAAGCAAGCUCACACAGCCCAAAUCAGCCCUGAAUUUAAUAAGGGAUGAGAACGAGAGGCAGUGACGGAAAGACAUGACACUGCUUCGGUCUGGUCCCCCUCCUCCUUCUCCUCCUCCAGUCUAUGGGGAGGAAGAAAGGUGAGUGGCAGACAUGUGGGAUGGAAGCUGUCUGGGAGUCUCCGUAGAGACCGAGGGAGGGAGGGAGUGGGGAGCAGGUGUAAGUAGUCGUCAAGAGCUGCUCGCAGUCCUUCUGAGCCUCUCCACAGGUACCCUUUGCAUCCCUGUGAAAAGACGAAAUCCUUUUUGGCAGACUGCAGUCUUUCCUCCAGGCCUUCCCUUCUGAUACACAAGAACAAACACUAUUUAAAUAAACUUGCCAGUAACCGGCAUCACCUUUAACUUCCAGGCUUCGUGUAGGUGCUGGGAGCUGUGUGGCUGUUGCCUGUCCGUAGGAUAGGACCACCUGGGACUUGAAUCAAAGCAGCUGGGAUUCCUGCCCAGCAUGAGACUUUUGUGAGAUCGUAUAACUGGAGAUUUCAGGGUGAGAUGCUUGGUCCCAGCAGCUCCAAUAGGCCCUUGACCUCUCAUAUCCAAUUGGCCAAUAAACAGAAUCCAUGAUGGAGAAAAACAGCAGAAGGAGGUUUAUUUAAUGUGGCCCCCAUGGGAAGAAGAACAAAGAAGGGUCAAGUGACCCUGAAUUCAUCUUUGAGAAGUUGACCUGGGACAUGGCAAGGGGGUAAGGGGUCUGCAUAAUUAAGCACCCUGGGCAGGGUGUGGUCAAUUCCGGUUCUGGAAGGCCAUCUUGUCUUCACUGGAGGGAAGCAUUCUGAUUCUCAGGAGAUGAUCACUUCUGCUUCUGGGUCUAGCCUUAGCAUUGUAGAUAAUCAUCCCGGGCCCAUUUGGAUGUAGUCUCCUGCAGGGUUGUCCUCUGCUUGGAAGUCGUUGGAGUCCUGUGGUGCUGUGAUACUGUGAACAUAUCUCUUACAUUCUAAGAGACUGGAUCUUUAGCUGGACCUCACAGCUGAGUUGAUGAAACACCCUGGGGUUGCCAUCCCUGUGUACUCGGCCGGUUUGUUUAACCUGCCUCUAAGAGAACAAGGUAACAGGCAACCUUACUUGCCUUGGAUUUCCUCUGUAAUCAACUUUUACAACCCAAGCUAAUGCAUAGCUGUAAUCUUAAGUUAUGUACUCUCCCAUGCCCCUGAUCCAGAGUAAUGCAUGUGUGUUAUGAUAAUCAUUUGCUGGAAACAGCAAACAGGCAGGAAGCAGCCUUAUAAAAUGAAUAUCCAUCAUAAAUACUGGAAGCAGCAUUCCGAUAUUGCUUGAUAGCAUUUGUUUGUUUGUUUGUUAUCUGGGUCAGUCGAAGUCAGUGACUUAAUCCCUUGUAAAAUCUGUUAAAGAUUUCUAUAAAGUAUCUCUCAUUCUCUCCCCAUGGGAUCCUUUCUGUGCUGUUCAGAAAAAGAGAGAGGAAAGCCUUUUGUUAGGGACAGACACACAGACACAGGCACAGAUACAGGGACAAAUUCACAAGACAGCCUUCAGGCAGGCAAAGACUCAGACUCACACAACAGAUAGACAAGGAGGGCAGAGGACACACGGAGAGUGAACAGAGAGUUCAAAUCUGGAUUAAAUGAUACCAAGAGAAAGAACCUGCUUGGACUCAUUCCUUAAUGUGGCAUUAUUGGUGGCUCUGAGUUUAUUAUUGGUGUGUCCAAACCAUCCACAGAGUCCCAUGGCACAAAGAUGUUUAUCCUGAAGUUCAAGGUGAUGCGAGAAGAAAGAGUAAGGAGACAAGAGCAGAGCCAGAGGGACAAGCUGGAGUGAGUUAGGCCAGAGAGAGAUCUGUGCCCUCCUUAAGUCAGGUCUCUCAGCAUUCCAUCAUGCAGGGAGGUUUACGGGACUCAGGAGCCUUCACCAGAUCCUCAUGAGGCUGCUCUGUGUAGCAAUAUGAGAAGUAAGCAAUCUGCUAGGGUGGGCCAUUUGCAUAAAGCAACUGUCCUUCGAUUGCUCAAGGACUCUUCACGGAUGUAGAGGUCUGGAAGUCAGCUUCCUAGUGGUGUAACUGCCUUUGAGUUCCCCCAUCUUCCUGUAAGUAAGCCUCACAAACUCUUCGGUUCACCAAGCUGGGCUUGGGUGGGACCUUUGCUCUGCCUGUGCCUCUCUACUGCCACAAAAGAGAAUGCAUGGCACGGAUCAGAGGUGAGCAAUGGGUAGACCCAGAAGAGGCACAUUUGCACAGAAUUCAAACUGGUGCCAAGUAAAACCAAUGCCUACAAAACCCUUCAGUAGUUCAGCUCUCCCGGAGCCGAGUUCCAGGACAGCUUCAUAGAGCACUGCCAGGAACAGGGUUAGAAAGGAAGUGUGACACAGAUAGACAAAGGGAGGGGAAUUGCAGCAGGGAGAUCACUGCAGCCUUAGAGUCUUUGAUGGGCGUGUUGUUGUGUUUGGGGAAAAUGAGGGCAAGAAGGAAAAAACAAACAAAACAACAAACAAACAAAAGCCCCAGGAUUGACUGGCGGCCGAUGCCCCCUUUUGCUCUCUGGUGAAUGUGUAGGCUGCUCUACCCACCUGCUCAGUGUCAUCUCCCCUCAUCGCCUCCUUAAAACUCUCUCUCUCUGCCACUUGUGCCCUGACAUUAUCAACCAUGAGCAAUUCCUGGAAUAUGCUGUGGGUUCUGCCAUCUGAUUUAGAACUAUUUUCUCUGACUUGGAUUUUCCUUUCCCGUCUUUCUCACCAGGCUGACACAUUUUCUAAAAUCUUCAGGACAAGCCUAUUCUAGAAUGACUGGCUUGGUAUGUCCCUCUUCCUUGGUUCAGAGUCAGGGACCCCUAUAGUCUAGUCUCUAACACAAUUGGGGUGUUUACAGACUGUAUCAUUUGUAUGUCUUUGUCCCUACUAGGCUCACUCUUGAUGAAUGAGACUGGUCUUAAUAGCUUUGUGUCCUUAAGGCCUGGCAGUUUUCAGCACACAGUAGGUAUUUUAAAAAUAAAUAUAUGAGGAAAUGUGGAUGUGUCAUUUAGCAUCUUUCUAUCUUAGAACCAGUAAUCUAAAUUUAGGAAUUUAUUCUAAAGAAAUACCACAAAUGAAGGAAAAGAGGCAUGCGUGUGCAAAUACUCAUUGCAGAAUUUUUGUUAGUGCAAAACCAAAAGCCACUUGGAUGUCAAGGACAGUAAACUGAGUCACAGCCUGUAGUGUCACCAUCGAUGAGACGAACCCCUGAGACUGUGGAAAACGUGAAAGAAAAGUGGUCCCUACAUAAUCUACAGUUUUGAGAAAUGGUACCUACCUUAUAUAUUUAUUCUGAUUAGAAUUACGUAGCACUAAAAUCAAGGACUAAGAGAGAAUAUACACGAUAAAGAAAAUUAGUUGUCAGACUAGGUUUGGUUAACUAAAGUGAUUCAUUCUUCUUUCUCUUGCAAUGCUGUUAUUAUAGUAUUUGUGUGGAGAAAGGAAACAGAGGCUCGGUUCAUGGGCCACCCAAUCCUGGGCUCUGUCUCUAAGAGAUGGAGCUUGAAGAAUAGCUUGUCCUCCCAUGAAACAGCCUCAGAAAACCUGUAGACAACUUCAAAUGCUCCGACUCCUAGUGUGACCCUGGGAGCCACAGCGUACUCCAGCGUUCUAGUGCUGCUCACAGUGGUGCAGAGAUGGGCUGGAGCUAUUCUCAGCAUCUCUGUCUCACCCCAACCCAGCCUUGUCUUUAUAAAUCCUCAAAGGUGCUUCCUCCCCCGACCUUUGUCACUGGUCAUUGCCUAAUCUUCCCUGUCCCUGCUCCUUAUCUGCUGCAGCAACUGCAAUGGCUGGCCAGUUAUUUACCAAACAUCACAUGCCAGGCCAAGGGAACCAGCAUCUCCAUUUGUUACUGUUAUUCUUGCUACAUAAAUCUGUCUGGUGCCCUAGAAAGCCAUGCAGAUCCAGGCAAACAAGCACGCUGGUCACCCUCCUACAAAGUUUCAGUAUCUAGGCUAAAGUUAACAUUCUGAGCCAGUUGAAUAAAUCCCUGCCCUUAUGGAGCUUGCAGCCUAAAAUAUAGGAGAGAGCUGACCAAAAAAGCAACAGGCAAUUUGUGCACGCUGCUACAAAACUGAGCACCAGGUACUAUGAGUGCAUAGAAUAAAAGCAAUGGGUUUUGCACAUGUGGAUGGGUGUUCACACAGGCACACAUAUGUAUCUGAGUAGUGUGUGUGUGUGUGUGUGUGUGUGUGUGUGUGUGUGUGUGUGUGUAGUUCUUUAGGGCAGAGAAGGUCCGCAGAACAGUUGGACUCUGAAAGAAAUGCAAUCGCUACACAAGCAGACAAGGAGGAGUGCUUUGGAGUACCUCCUGGGGUCUUCUCAGGUCUUGCUUUCUAUAGCAUAGUGUGUGUGGAUGACCAAAGGUUCUGUGUGUGAUCCAGAAGCUGGUCUUGGUUGUCAUCCGCACACUGGGUUUUCCACUUUUAAUAGAAUGGAGUGUAGACUCCAGACCUUGCUGUCCAUCGUGUUUGCUGUAGGAGUGUUUAAGCUGGGAAUCCAGACUGAAGGCUCUUCUCCCUGCUCCAUGGCAGCCCUUGCACCUGUCGGCCUUCAAGUGGGAGAGCAGGAGGGGGGAGGACAGUUUGGGGUAGAAUUGGGUUCCAGUGUUGACGCCCUAACCCCACAGUGUGAGUGUGCUGGGAAAAGAAGAAAUGAAGAUCAGCUGUGCUGUUAGGGUGGGGCCCUAACCUGAUAGGACUUGUAGCCUUACAACAAAGGAGACUAGGAAAUGUCUGUCUGCUCAGGCACAGAGAGAAAGGACCUGCAGACAGAGGGCACAAGUAGCUUUUCAUACUGCUCACUGGGAAUCAGCUCUUCCAAGGUCUGAUUCUUAGACUUGCAAGCUCUGGAGAAUACAUUUCCAUUGAGCCACACCCCCUGGGGUGUUCUGUGAGUGAGCCUAGCUAAGACAGGGCUGCUUUACUAGUUCCCAGUGUGCUCUCCCUAACCAAUCAGCACACAGGAGCGGGGGUCUUAGGCUAUGGAUCCCCCAUUGCAAAAAGUGGGGGGCCAGUCCAGAGGAGGUGAACAAUAGAGAGCUAGUCAUUUACAGAGGAACAGGAGAGAGGAUGCCUUCGAUAUCAUGAGGAUGGAGCUGUGAUCUUUUGGAAGAGACCACCUACCAUCAGGCACGUGGAAGGGAACAGUAAGUUCUCUCCUCUUCCUCCCACAAUCAGAACAUUUGAAACUGUAACCAAAGCCCAAAAUCUGGAGACCUCACCUUGUUCCAGAAUCCAGAACUCUUUCUUUUGGCUUUUGGCUAGAUGUGGUUUAGAACCUGUAAACUGUUUGCUAUUACAUCCCAGUCUAUCCUCAUGACCAAGCUUGACUGUAGGAGGCCUUGCAUUUACCCUUGUUUAUCAGCUGAGCAACUUGAGGUUCAGAAGCCAAGGACCUUGUUCAAGGUCACACACCUAUUGAGUCAGAGACCUGGUCCCAAAUAAGUUUGCCUCCCUCCAAAUCCUGUGCUUUCGUUUCUUUUUUUCACCCCAUGCCCUGGGACCGAGAAGUGUCACAUAUUAGCUUGAUGCAGGCUGUCCCUCUGCCCACUGCCAGCAGGAAUCUCUUCUCAUUCUUGUCCUGUGGUCAGGGAACAUGUGUCCUGGGGUGAGAGGAAAGCCCAGAGCUAUUCAUUCGACAAUUGCGCCUUUCAGUCUAGAUUUGUUUUUUGAUUUGUUUUCUGUUUGUCUUUUCUUCUGGGGAGGGAGGGCGAAGUGGGGGAGCAGCAGCCUUUUCUGGGAGCUCUGUUGAUUUCUGCUUCUGCUGUGUAGGGAUUUUCAAUGACGAGGCUUUGAUUUUCCUGCCUCCUUGGGAGAGUCAUGCAAUUUUUUAAAAAUCCACUGGCUCUGGUAGUCCAUUUCUGCUCCACGUAGCCUGCUGAGGAACCCAAGGCCUCCAGACUGAGCCAAUUUUCUUUCUCUCUGUUUUGCAUGAGAUGUUGAAAAGUCCUUGACUCAGGGUACUUUGCUGGAGUUGAGACUGAGAGCUAGUGUACGUGUGUGUGUGUGUGUGUGUGUGUGUGCGCGCGCGUGCGCGCGCGUGUGUAUUUGUAAGGCAGGGAGAGGGCACCUCUAGGCAAUGAGUCUUUGCUGCUCUGCAUCAGAGUUCUUGAGCUGGAACACACGAGCCUAUGGUCUCAGCUAUAAGGAUCCGUUGCACAGCCAGAAGAGGACAUGAGUGAGCUUGCAUCUGCUCAGGUCAAUUGCGCACACUGGAGAGUGCAGAUGCUGACAUCAAUUACAUGUAUGCUCAAGCAGGUGGAGUAGCGAGACAUAAGCCAACCAAAUACCCGUAGAUACACAAGUGUGCUCUCCAGCCUAUGUGCAGUCUCAGGUGUGAAGACCUCUGUGAAACAUACAGCCCGAGACUUGCUGUGAGCAUCUAUGCCAAUGCAUUAGCUAUCAGAUGAUUCUGUGAGCAUGUGGACCCACAAAAACAUGUAUGGGGCACCAAGACACCAAGGUCAAGCCUUCAUCUUGCUUUCUACAAGAGUAGAUAUUUUUCAGUAUAUGUAGGAGUGAGCAUAGACAAGCAUGCACUUGUAUUUGUGUUUCUGUUUGUGUGAACAUAUGGGCAUCCCAGGGCGUGUCUUUGUUGGUGUGGGUGCACAUUCCCCAGUGUGCAUCUGCAACUCCAGAGCACAUGUUCAGAGGGAACUCUGAGAGAGAGGCGCCUGGAUGUGAGGCUGAGGAUGUAGGGCCUCAUUUGCAUGGUGUUCCCCUGUGUUUGAGCUUGCUGUGUUCACAGCCCUGGAGAAUUUCAAACAACAACAGUGACACCAACAAAGAGGAAUGGAAAAUGAUGUAACCCUGCAUACAUUUCUGGAGCCUCGGGAACGGUCCCUGCGCAGGCUACGAUUCCAGCAGUGUCCGUUACCAUGGCUAUGGCUAAAGAGACGCUGCUGGCUUCUGUUUAUUUUUAAAUCCCCAUCCCCGUGACACCCCUCUCUGGAGCUCAAACCUCAUCCUAUCCACCCCAAGCUUCCUUCCCUCUGCUCAGAAGGUGAGAUCUCAACCCUCUCCAUACUCCGAGGGGGACCUGGGAGGGUAUUCCAACCCUUACACCCCACCCUCCAGAAAUCCAGGUGCCUCUGGGCCAGGGAGGGUGUUACUCUAGACCAGGAGGCUCCUGGCAAAUUGCAGAACUCAGUGGAGGGAGCCGCCUUCAUGCUUGUGUUUAGUGUGAGCUUCUGGUCCAGCUUAUGGUUACCUGACUGCCAGGGUUAAUAGGAAUAAGUCCACACAGAGAGUUCUACCACUGAUUUCAUGAUACCUACAGCCCAGGCUGGGGGUAACGGGGUAGACAGAGGGAACCUCAGCAGAUAGGGUCCGGUCCCAGGCUUCCUUGGGCAGGUCUUCGUGCAAUCUAAAUUUUCUCCUUUUAGUCCCCUGUCUGAUUUGUGCCUGGGUGAGGAGGAGGCCAGCCAAAAGAAGUGGUGAUUUCUUUCCCUGAGAGAGCUGAAAGGCUGGGCAGGAUUGAGCUGAGGCGUGUCUUCCCUUGCCCACAGGGUUUGGGCUAUACAAAGGCAGGGCAAACUGAGCCCGAACUCAUAGGUUUCCUUUGUAGUUUUUCUAGUCCAAACUGCACUGGCACCCAGUUGUAGGUUCAGGGUAACAUAGAAUAGAGAAGGCUCACACUGACAUUUCCCAGUGUGGAUAAUGAGCAUCUGUGGCCCAUGACUUCUCUCCUCAGGCAGUUAGAUGCUUCAAGAAAAGAUGAUCCUUUCUUACUCUGCCCUUCAUAGUGCCUUUGGGAGAGGACCUGUCUUAGUCACUGUUCUAUUGCUGUGAAGAGACGCUAUGACCAAGGCAGCUUAUAGAAGAAAGCGUUUAGUUGGGGGCUUGUUUAUACAUUCAGAGGGUUAGUACAUGAUCAUCAUGGCAGGGAGCAUCAUGAGAAGGUGUGUGUGGCAGCAGGAAGGCAGGCAUGAUGCUGGAGCAGUAGCUGAGAGCUUACACCUGGAUCCAAAGGGGUGGGGGGGCAGAGAGAGAGAGAGAGAGAGAGAGAGAGAGAGAGAGAGAGAGAGAGAUAUUGAGCCUGGUGUGGGCAUCUGAAACUUCAAAGCCUACCCCCAGUGACACACCUUCUCCAACAAGGCCAUGCCUUCUAAUCCUUCCUAAACAACCCACCAACUAGGAAUCAAACAUGAGCCUCUGGGGGCCGUUCCCAUUCAAACCACCACAGAGCCCUCAUUACAGCGGGUGGUCAAUGAAUUAACGCUUAUCUAGUUAAGGCCUCCAAGCCUGUACAGAGCAUUGGCUGUGGGCUUUUCUGUUCUCAGUGGGGCUUUCUUAUUUUAAAAAAUGAGGGACUAGAUCGAGUUAUCUCUACCCAUCCAGCCUGACAUUUCAUAAUUCUAUUAACUAAUUGAAUCGGAUGGGCAUUAUGGAAAAUGUUGAACAACAGGCUGAUUUUUUUUCUUUGAACAUGAACCAGAUUCCCUGGGUCAGAGUCAGGUCAGCAGAAGGAAAAACAAGCAGAUGACGACACCCCCCUCUCUGUGCACAAAUGGGCAACAUCAGCAGAGCACGCCGGAAGUGUGCAGUGGGAAUUGGCAGGUGUGUGCUUUCUGAGAAUUGCCCUGAAAUUUAGGCACUUUGGUGGCUAGUGGUCACAGGCUCCUUUCACCUCUAGCAUCUAGUUGAGUCCCUGCGGUGCCUUCAAGGGACUAAAACAGGCACUUUUUGAUAAGUUUUGGGUUUGAGAAACAGGUCAAGUCCUUCAACAGAAACAAAUAAGGGUGUGACUUGGUGUGGCCAGAGACACAAGGACUCCUAGGUUUUCCUAGGACACCCUCUUGAUCACCUCAUCCCUUCUGAUUACUAAGAAUUAUGGAUUGAAUUGUGUCCUUAAAAUUCAUAGUCUGGUGGUUCUUAAUUAGAAACAAGGUCUGUCCUAACCCACCCCUCAUCUGCCAUAUGGUGGCAUGGGCAGGGGAGAGAUGCCCUUCCCACCCCCCUCCUCUGCCCAUCAAAGCCUAAAGCAGGUGGGAGAGCUGGCCCUAAGGUUAUAAGAGUGAGAGAGCUUUUUCUGCCCGCCCCCACUAGCUGCAACUCUCAGGAGAGUGGCCCCUGCACCUCACCGGAGCAGUACAGUAGAGCCAAACCUUUGGUGGAGAUGUAGGUGAGCCAGUCCCUAAGUAGUGAGCAUGAGAGAGCUGUCCCCACUAUUUGUCUGUCGUGUGGCAGUGUGGUUAGGUGAGAGAUGCCCCCCCAUUACCCCUCACCACCUAUGACAGAUGAGGGAGCUGACCCUCUCCCUUACCACCUGCAGCACUCAGGAAACUGGACCCUGUUCCUUCCCUGGGCAGCACAGUAGAGCUGACCUUGUUGGCAGAGGUGUGGGUGAGCCAGCCUUGAAGUAGUGACCAUGGGAGAGGUGUCCCCAUUAUUCACCUGUCUGGUGGCAGCAUGGGCAGGGGAGAGAUGCCCCCACCCACCCAUCAAUGCCCGAGGCAGGUGGGAGAGCUGGCUCUGAGGUCAUAAGAGCAGGAGAGCUGUCCCUGCCCCUCACCAAUGCAGCACUCAGGAGAGUGGCCCCUACACCUGGCCUGGGCAACACAGUAGAGCUGGCCCUGAAGGUGUAGGUGUGGGAGAACCAACCUGAGGACGUGAAAGCAGGAGAACUGGCCCCGCCCCUUGCUCAUCUAUGCAUGGGUGAACUAGCCAGGACAAUGUUGGAGAGCUCAUCUUGGUGGUAAAGACAGGGGAGAGCUGGCUGCUGAACUGACCAACCCUGCAACUACCCAGGCCAAGAACCAGGAUUAUGUGUUGGCCCACCCCAACAUCUGCCCCAUCUGUGAUCUUCUGGAGCAGGGUUGCGGGGGGAGCAUUGGGGGUAGGGAUGGCUGCAGGAUCUCCACCUCCACAUAUAGGCAGCAACAGGAUGUCCAGGAAGAGUCCCAGUGAGGGUCCAGCAUCUAUGGUGUAGCAGAGAUCAGGGGCUUCAACCAGACCAGUGAUUCUUUGGGAUGAACACUUGCAUGUAAAAAUGUAUGGAUAAAGGGGUUUAUGUGUAACCCACUGUAUCACACUGCAGCUUCCAUGAUGAGAGAGUCUCCUUUUCUUCCUUUUUUCACCCCCUUUUCUUCUCUUAAAUUUUAUUUUGGUUUAUUUGGGGAGAGGAUGGGUGAGAUCCAGGGACAUGGUGUGGAGACAUGAUGUGAAAGACACAAAGAAUAAAUACCAAGAAAGUUAAAACAACAAGGAAUAAAUAGAAAGAAAGUUAGAAAAAAGAAAUAAGGUCUGUAGAGAGGUAAUUAAUUGCGAUGAGGUCAUCCUGGUGUGUUUUAUAUAAAGGGGGAACCCUGGGGCAGUGGUUAUAAUUCAGUGUCACAGCACCUGUCUCACAUGCACAAGGCUCUGAGUUCAAUCCUCAAUAUUGCCAAAAGAUGUGUGUGUGUGUGUGUGUGUGUGUGUGUGUGUGUGUGUGUGUGUGUGAGAGAGAGAGAGAGAGAGAGAGAGAGAGAGAGAGAGAGACAGAGAGACAGAGAGAGAGAGACAGAGAGACAGAGAGUUGGGGUUCAGGGUGUGUGUGUGUGUGUGUGUGUGUGUGUGUGUGUGUGUGUGUGAGAGAGAGAGAGAGAGAGAGAGAGAGAGAGAGAGAGAGAGAGAGAGAGAGAGACAGGCAGACAGACAGAGAGACAGAGAGACAGAGAGUUGGGGUGCAGGGUGUGUGUGUGUGUGUUGAACACAGAAAUACUGCCAGAAGGUGAAGGUCACGUGACAGUGAAGGUAGGUCAAGCCAAAGUCAGUGGAUGCCAAAGGUUGCCUGAAAAUGAGCGGCAGCUUAGGAGAGGCACGGUGCAGUCCUCACCUGCCUGUGCUUAGGAGGCAUCAUCUUGGGCUCAGACUUCCAGACUCCAGAGUGCCAAGGCAAUGCAUUUUGCUUGGUUUUGGCCCCAGCCUGUGGUGUUUGAUUCCUUUAGCUGUAGAAGAUUCACACAGUAAGAGAUGCCAUGUGCUGGAGAGAGCCUUAAGUCUCAGCCAUUCCCCACUCCGGACCCUCACGCUUCCCUCUUCCAAGAUGUCACUCAAACACAUCAGGUAGCAGGUAACAUACAAACAGCCGACUAUCCCCAAAGAAAGUGAUUUUUUUUCCCAGCUCAACUCAGCUUUGCAGCUAUUUCCAUCCACCAGGAGGUCCUUCCUCCUUUCCCACCCAAAUCCCACCUGCUGCAGUCUCAGGCUAUUCUGCUUUAUUUUGCUCUCAAGAGACAAUGAUCAACUGGAACGCCCACCUCCAGAAAUCAAUCCUUUGUUGUCUAAAAGUUACACAUGGAAUCUCUCUCCCGGUUCGCUGACAGCUCCCACCUUCCAGUUCAAGGUAAACCUUCAGCUCACAGCCUAGGAAACGCCCAGGCUCUCAACCGGGCAAACGUUCCUGUGCAGUGACCUUGCCUGUGACAUCCCCAUCCCAGCUGUCGCCCCAUCCCUCCCCUGCUUCCCUGGGUCCUUCAGCACAGUCCUUCCAAAGACAGAGCUUGUUUUGUGUGCCUGAGCAUGCCUUGUCUCCAAACACAGUGUGGAGAGGAGUCAUGGGGACGGAGCUGCGGUGGCCGCACGCUCACAGUGACCGAUGAGAGGGCCUGAUUGCUUGUGCAUGGCUGCUGAAAGGGGUCUUGACAUUUUAAGUGCUCGUCAGAGUGAGGAAUGACAGCAGCAGACAAUGAGACACUUCCUCUUUGCCUUUUGCUGGCUAUUAAUAAGGGUUUCUGAUUCCAUAGAAGUGGGAGAGACUCUGGGCCACUGGCUUGACGGAGCCUUCUGGGAUUUUUUUUUCUCUCUCACUUUGUCUUUCUCCCUGUGCCUCUCUCCUCUUCUCCCUGCCCGUCUCUCCUCUAGCUUCCAGGGUCUCUCUCCCCCAGGUGUGGCUGCCUGUUUGUCUUGGAGUUGGAAUUGCUCGUGUUCAGGAAAUGGCGUGAGGCAGCUGGUCUCAGCCGUGACUUUGGCUCUCCGCUGGAGUGUUGCCGGUCUCUGAAUCCCUGUCCUGAUUUCCCCAGGGCUGCAGUGGACUGGAAGGGAGGUUAGGAGCUGGCAGGGGAGAAGGGUGUGAAGCUGGUAGUGGGAAAUGGGCUUCUGGGAAAAGCCACUCACAGGGACCAUUAAGGUUGUCUGUACGUGCUGGGGCAGAGAGAUGGGAGACAAUUUCCUCUCCCACUUUCCCUGUCUGCAUCCUUCUCUCCCUUUCUGUGGUCCCUCCAUCAGUGCUAGUGGCCACGUGAUCCUCCUCAACCUUGCUGGGCAAUGGGCUGCCUCCUGGCUUCAAGGAGAACGUUCUAUGACUGGAUCUCAGAAGGGAUUGUUUGUAUUGCUAGAUUCAUGGUUCUGAAGUUUAUCCUCUUGCCAAACUAGGGAGAUCAACCAUUUUGACAGCCAGAAUGCAGUUUUCCUCAGUGUGAAAACUGGGGCAGUGCCCAGUGAACCAAACCCCUUAGUUACCCCUCCUCCCGAUCACACCACGACCUGGCUUCGGGUUCAGUAAGUUGAUACAGGGGAUGGACGGAGGUGAGCUGGACAAGAAUCCUCAGAAUGGAGCAGCCUGCCUUCUUAUACCAGUAAAAGAACAAAGAAGAGUGAGCGUCCACUGUGACCUUUGACUCCUUAGGGGAUCCACGUGAAGUGAGGAACAUGCCCCGGCUCUCAGGCUGCCUGGCCUUUUAUCCUCUCUCCGUCCCUCUUCCGAACACCCACUCUAGCCUGGAGUCCAGGUCCAAAGCCUAUCCCUUUCUUCUCAUUCAAUUACAUAAACAAUAUGAGCUUUGCAAACAGAAAAUUACAGGCUGCAAUAAUUGAAUCCUUCCCUGGACUUGAAGCUUACAGGGCGGAGGUGUGUAGUGCCUUCUGGAUACCCAGCCUUGCCCCAGGGCCUCACUUUCACUUAGUCAAGUCCUAACCAACAUUUAAACAUCAUGUUGUAGCUAAUGGUGUUUCUACCUCUACCAACUCCCUUGAAUUUUACAACUAUGUGAAGUCAGUUAUCCAGCAAGCCUUCUGUGCCUGUGGGUUUUGCAUCCAUGGAUUCAAAUAGCCACAGAUGGGAAGCAUUUGGGGAAAAAAAUGCCCCUGUACUGAACAUGUGCUGAUGUUUUUCUUGUCAUCAUCCCUAAAUAUAAUGGAACUGCUAUUUGCUUGGUAUUUAUAUUGUAUUGCGUAUUAUAAAGAAUACAGAGAUGAUGUAACUUUUGUGGGAGGCUGUGCAUAGGUUAUUUGUAAAUACUGCACCAUUUUGUGUAACAGACUCUAGCAUUGUAGGAUCUGGGUAUUCACAGGAAGUCUUAAGACCAAUUGGCUGUCACCUCUGAUCUUAUUAUUGUUUAUUAUUCUCUUUUCACAAAGGGGUGAUAUCUGAGGCAUAGAACCAUUCUGAAUGUUCAAGGGGACAUAACAAACACUUAUUUCACAGCUCAGAUCCAGGUCCAAGUUUUCUGCAAUGGAUUUCAUGUUUUCCCAAGUGCAGCCACAUUCCACCUCCCACCAUCCUUGACCAGCAUGUGGACCUGCCACCUUUAGUCUGCCAUGGUCCAGGCAGACCAAGUGUGAAACUGUCAAUGAAAUAUGAAUGGUUUGAUGAACAAGGACCUGUUCUACUCAAAGCCUGAAGAUGUGACAGAAAGCCUAGAGGCCUCAGAAGUGUAGAGGAGGCAUCAGACAGGAGAAAAUACCUCACAAAGGUGACUUAAUGAAAGGGCCCCUUUGGCUCCAACUGUGAGAGUGCAUCGGCGACGACAGGAUUGUGAAGCAGCUGGUUAAGGUGCAUUUACAGUGAGGAAGCCAAGAGCAACGGAUGCUGGUGCUCAGCCCGCUUUCUCAUUUUUAUUUCACUAUGACCCCAGCCCAUGGGGUGCUGCCACCUACGUUCAAGCCCGAGCAAGUGGGAAAGACACAGAGGAAGUGUUCAACAGCUGUUCACUAAUGAGUGACUUUCUCCCCUGUAAAGCCUGGACCUAUGGUUCCUCCUCCAGAAGAUUCUACUGAAAGGAAUCAAGUUUCCUGGUGCCUUAGGUGGAAUAUGGCAGCCAUCAGUACCUGCUUAAGGCGUCAAGAAGGGACGAACAACAUAGAAGAGAAAGGACUCUCAGACUGUGUUGCCCUGGACAGGACUGGGAACAAGCAUGUGUUGAGGACAGGAGACUACACUUGCUCGCCUUCCUAUGCACAGCAUGCUGAAGAUGUAGAAGAGGGACUCUUGUUGAUGCUGUUUCCCAUAGCUUAUCCUUUCUCCACAACACAGGCCAUCCUAGCAUCUGUAUUCCCAGCCUUGUCCUUCCAUGUUCUCCACCCCAUCAACCAGGAGAGACAUACAGACCUUGUACAGGCAUGGAAACUGUCCUUUCCAGAAGCCAGGCAACUUGAAUCCUGUUGAACUACAGAACUCUGUCCUUGCACACACCCAGCAUCCAUCAGCCUUGGGUCUCUUGUCUCUAUCCUCAAACAGCCAACAAAUUCUGUCUGCCUUAAAAAUAUCAAAUGAGAGACCAUGAAAGAAGUUUUAAAGGCACAUGCGUGUCACUUUGUAUUGCAGGGAUUGGUUCCAGGACCCCUGCAGAUACCCAAAUCCGCAGGUGUUUGCAUUUUAGGUAAAGUGCAUUGUACCUGCACCCAGCCUAAGUAUGCAGCUAGACUUUAGAUUGUCUCUAGAUUAACUUUAAUGCUUAAUGCAAUGUCAAUGUCACCUACAUUGCCACUGUGCCACACUGUCGAGGGAAGAAUGACAAGGAAGGAGUCUGCACAUGUUCCUUGCAGAUGCAAGUUUUCCUUGAAUUCUUUCAGUGCAUGGUUGAUUGAAUCUGCAAAUAUAGAGCCUGUGAAUACUGAGGGCUGAUUGCAUUGAGCUACUCAAAGCUGGUGUAAAUGAUUAUACAUAAUAAACAUUAAUCUACUGUUGUUUCCAGCCAUGCCAGUGGGCUUUAUACUAUCCACAGACUAUCCAGUUGCCUCUCCAGUAAGACAACACAUAAGCUGGUAUGGAAGCAGGAAGGGCUGGUUCAGGCCUCCUCUGCACCAGGAUGGUUAUAAAUGCGGCCCAACACAUUUGUAUGAUAGACGACAGUGUCAAGUUUUGUUUUUUUUUUUAUCACUGUGAAAAUCUAUAACACAAAAAAGUCAUCCUAGGUAGAAAGUAAAGUAUGUGCAAAGGCCCUGUGGUAGGAAGGAGCUUUUGACCAUUCUAGAAAUUGGCAGAAGACGUUGGUAUCUGAAACAUAGCAGACAGGGUACAAUUGGAGAAAGACAUGGUGUAUAGCAGAUGCCUGGUGGCAUUUGACUACUAGUGGAUUAAUUGGUGAGUGAACAAGGCUGCAGCCUGGGUCAAGGAAGCUUAUCUCUCUGUACCCUUCUGGUAAUGCACAUUUCUGCAGCAGCACUGAAUACAUCUGGCAACAUCCCUCUCCAGACUCUGUGGAGAGAGACCCCUGUCCAGGCUUCACCAACUCACCUGGCGAUCCGAUGCCAACUGAAGGCCCUGGCCUUUCUACCUGACUGACUCUGUCCACUUUUCUCACUCAGAGAGCCCCCCUCCUUCCCUUCUCCUCUGGAUCCCUGUGGGGGCCACUGCCUAUGUUUAUGAAAACUGAACAUGUCAUUCAAACCAGCACCUCUGGCCUCCCAACACCGGAGAUCAGCGGCUACUGUUUUCCCUCUCUGUCACUGGACUCUGCGAGUGAAGGCUGGUCUCCCCGUGGCUGUUCCCAGAACCUCACAGACGGUAAUGAGUCCGGGGUUGGUGUUAAGCUCAGAUGUCAAACAGAGUGGCCAGGGCCUCCCGAAACGCCAAGAGAGCCCCGAGCUUCUCCCUCUACAAGCUUCCUCCUGAUGAACUGCUCCUGCCCCAUGGCUCUUCUGAAGUCCAUCAACGUCUGUGUUCCAGUUGGAAAACGCGACUGCUUUGAGGCUGAGAACACUUGGAUGCUGGCUUUAUUUCAUUCAUUAAUUUAUUUAAAAUAUUUACUGAGGCUUAUUAUUGGCAGGCACUGGCUAAGUGCUAGGGGUUUAGUGUUGAAACUCACAGUCUGGGGCAGAGAUGGCAACAUACACAAAUAACUGUAAUACAAUGUGGUAAGUGCUGUAAUAUAGGUUCUGUGAGCUCAGAGUGCUCUGGAAACCCAGGAGGGAGCUUAUGAAAUAAUUUACUUACUGUUCCAAUGUCUAAAUAUGAAUGUUUAAGUAAACACCUUUUCUUUGGAAAUGCUUGCAGCCUUUGUGAUUUUUUUUCCUGUCUAUUAUCUUACUUGGUGCCUCUCCCAACCCCUUUAACCAGCUCUUGUUCCAUCAACUCACCUCGACACAGAGUCAGGACCCACGAAGUAGCUCUGGAAAGAGAGAGUAAGUGAAUGAGGGAAUCAGUGUUACUCAGUCUGGUUUGCAAUUAGAUAAAUUAAAUGUCACAAAGUGAUUUGCUGAAGGUCAUAAACAUGUUCCCAGGUAGUCGGUGUAAACAUUCCUUCAACACCUAUGAUAGAAGGGUUUCUCUGCUGUGCUGUAAAUAAGGUUAGAACGUGUUUCACCCUCCUGAACGUCUGCUUUCACGGGUAAAACGGGAUGCACAGCUCAAGUAUGACAUCAAAGCUGGAGAUCGACUCACAAGUGGCCUGUGAUCAGCCACUGAGUCCAUUGCAGAGGCAGGAAGGACCCCGGGAAGCAGGAGCGUUCACUGUAGCUCACAUAUUCAGGGAAGGUGCCCAGAAGUGAAAGAACAAAACAAGAAGAAAAGAGGCAGCAGGCAAAGACACUCCCCAAAGAAACGAAAUCCACUAACCAGGUCUGCUGCGGUGUGCUUUUUCCAGGUCUACACCCACUGGACUGGAGCACUCAACCCUGUCCUUUGCAGUCUGUCUUCAGGCUCUAAUUAAACCCCAGAUUACAUCCAGGUCAAGAAAUCUUUGAGUCCUCUCAGGGAGAGGUUUUUCUUCACUCUCUUGGGGUCACCUAGACAAGGGGUGUGAUGUGACUACAUGCUUGAGUUCUUGCCUUGACUUCCCUGAAAUCAUGGAUUGUGGCCUGGAAUUAUAAGCCAAACACACCUUCUGUCCCUACAACUCAUUUUUGUCAAAGUAUUUGUGUAGUGGGUAGCCAUUCCAGCUUUGAUCUGGAAGUUCCAACCCCCAUUGAGGCUUCGGUAAUUGUCACGCCUACAAGGUGGGGCCGAGAGAGGACUCUGAACACCCAAGAUCUGGAUGCGCUAGCUCUCUUGGUUCCUGGACCCCGGACGCUGGAGGUAGACCGAGCAGAGUUCUCCAGAGAACACCACGGGACUGUGAUACACCUUUCCCAGACUCUGUAGCCUAUCCCUUCACUUGUAAGUUACCCCACAAAAUAAACCUCCCUUUUAACUACG